UUAUGAGAGUUUGAUCCUGGCUCAGGACGAACGCUGGCGGCGUGCCUAAUACAUGCAAGUCGAACGCUUCUUUUUCCACCGGAGCUUGCUCCACCGGAAAAAGAGGAGUGGCGAACGGGUGAGUAACACGUGGGUAACCUGCCCAUCAGAAGGGGAUAACACUUGGAAACAGGUGCUAAUACCGUAUAACAAUCAAAACCGCAUGGUUUUGAUUUGAAAGGCGCUUUCGGGUGUCGCUGAUGGAUGGACCCGCGGUGCAUUAGCUAGUUGGUGAGGUAACGGCUCACCAAGGCCACGAUGCAUAGCCGACCUGAGAGGGUGAUCGGCCACAUUGGGACUGAGACACGGCCCAAACUCCUACGGGAGGCAGCAGUAGGGAAUCUUCGGCAAUGGACGAAAGUCUGACCGAGCAACGCCGCGUGAGUGAAGAAGGUUUUCGGAUCGUAAAACUCUGUUGUUAGAGAAGAACAAGGAUGAGAGUAACUGUUCAUCCCUUGACGGUAUCUAACCAGAAAGCCACGGCUAACUACGUGCCAGCAGCCGCGGUAAUACGUAGGUGGCAAGCGUUGUCCGGAUUUAUUGGGCGUAAAGCGAGCGCAGGCGGUUUCUUAAGUCUGAUGUGGAAGCCCCCGGCUCAACCGGGGAGGGUCAUUGGAAACUGGGAGACUUGAGUGCAGAAGAGGAGAGUGGAAUUCCAUGUGUAGCGGUGAAAUGCGUAGAUAUAUGGAGGAACACCAGUGGCGAAGGCGGCUCUCUGGUCUGUAACUGACGCUGAGGCUCGAAAGCGUGGGGAGCAAACAGGAUUAGAUACCCUGGUAGUCCACGCCGUAAACGAUGAGUGCUAAGUGUUGGAGGGUUUCCGCCCUUCAGUGCUGCAGCUAACGCAUUAAGCACUCCGCCUGGGGAGUACGACCGCAAGGUUGAAACUCAAAGGAAUUGACGGGGGCCCGCACAAGCGGUGGAGCAUGUGGUUUAAUUCGAAGCAACGCGAAGAACCUUACCAGGUCUUGACAUCCGGAAGUACAACGAGUUGCGAAGUCGCGAGGCUAAGCUAAUCUCUUAAAGCGUGCAUGGUUGUCGUCAGCUCGUGUCGUGAGAUGUUGGGUUAAGUCCCGCAACGAGCGCAACCCUUAUUGUUAGUUGCCAUCAUUCAGUUGGGCACUCUAGCAAGACUGCCGGUGACAAACCGGAGGAAGGUGGGGAUGACGUCAAAUCAUCAUGCCCCUUAUGACCUGGGCUACACACGUGCUACAAUGGGAAGUACAACGAGUUGCGAAGUCGCGAGGCUAAGCUAAUCUCUUAAAGCUUCUCUCAGUUCGGAUUGCAGGCUGCAACUCGCCUGCAUGAAGCCGGAAUCGCUAGUAAUCGCGGAUCAGCACGCCGCGGUGAAUACGUUCCCGGGCCUUGUACACACCGCCCGUCACACCACGAGAGUUUGUAACACCCGAAGUCGGUGAGGUAACCUUUUGGAGCCAGCCGCCUAAGGUGGGAUAGAUGAUUGGGGUGAAGUCGUAACAAGGUAGCCGUAUCGGAAGGUGCGGCUGGAUCACCUCCUUU
RNAcentral lists this ribosomal RNA (1557 nucleotides) under Enterococcus faecium. RNAcentral's name for it is "bacterial SSU rRNA". It matches the Rfam family "Bacterial small subunit ribosomal RNA". The record is from RNAcentral. Lineage: Bacteria; Bacillati; Bacillota; Bacilli; Lactobacillales; Enterococcaceae.